CAUACCUAGACAUCGAAAACUCUGUAGAAACAUACCUAGACGACGAGAGCCAAGGAGAAGUAUACCUAGCAAAUGAACAGUAUGGAGCUGUCCACGUAGACAUCGAAAACCAUGGAUGAAUCUACCUAGACCACGAAAACCAUGGAGAAACAUAUCCAAACAUCGAAAACCAUGGAGGAACAUACCUCAACCACGAAAACCAUAAUGGAACAUGCCUAGACAUUGAAAACUAUGGAGGAAUAGACAUCAACACCUAGACAUCGAAACCGGGAGGUAGCGUUGCAUUUACAUAAGUCAUAAUAAGCCGGCUGAUAUUGAUAUUGAUAGUCGAUCUUAUAUGACUAAUAAGAGAAGCGCUCGUCAGCCGAUCAAGUAACAGUGGGUGUGGGUGUGGGACGUUGCGGAAGUAGUAAAAAAAAAUAAAAAUGAAGUACACCGGCUGAAACUUUUUUCAUGAAUAAUUUACAUUUUGAUGAAUUGAAAUUAAAUCGUCAGCUGCAUCGCGGGUGGGAGAUUAAGCGUCAGCUGCUUGCAUGAAGUUAUUAAAAAAAAAACACGUAAAAAAGUUAUAGUACGCCGGGCCAAAAUCGAGUAGGUGAUUGUUUGAGAAAUUUAAAGCACGAAAAAAAUAGUCAGCUGCGUGUGUAGUGGUGGAAAGACCGUCAGCUGACGCGGUAAAGUUGAAAAAUAUCGGAGCAUAUUCCUUUAAACACGUAUUUGGAGAUGGAUUUCGAGCUGCUUGGGCCCAAAUAAUGACCUUCGGGCUACUUGAGCCCCUCCCUCUAAAAUUUCAAAGCAUCAUUUGCGUGUGCCUGUCCUUCAUUUGACGUACGAGAUCAGUUCCGGGUGAACUCUUCGAAUGAACGGAUACAAGUCCAAAUAUGUCGGAGAUUCAACCUUUCUGUAUAUUCUGAUGUAAAAAAAAAACAGGAAUUUUAACAUUGUUCGCGGAAAAAACUGUGGAAAAAUGUACCUCUGUGUUGGAGAUUCGCCAAAAAAACAAUCUUUCUAUGCAAAGUGUCAAAGUGCCGUUAAAAUCAAACGAUUUCGAAAAAUAUUAUUCGAAGUGCUAUCGUCAGUUUACGGCUUUACCGCCAAAAUAUCUAAGAGCCGUUGAAACUCCUUCAACAUCAGCAGCGGCAAGCUCGGAAACGGACGCUCAAAUAUCAGAAGCAGUUGAACAUCAAAAUAAAAACAUCGACGUGUCAUCCAACCUUGCUGAAAGCCAAAUCAUCUCGCCAUAUGCUUCAUCGAGUAUCGGUGAUCAAUCCGAUGUUUUGAACACUGUUUCAAUCGAGGAAGCAGAGGAAGACGCUCAUGAUUCCACAGAACAACACGUGUGCGUUUUCUGUAUCAAGAGGCGGAAAAAACAUCAAGGCCGCGAGCAACAGCUACAAACAUGUACGACCGAGGAAAGUAUGUAUAAUUUAAGGCGUAACGUGAGCAAAGUAGGUAAUGUAGAUUUAUGGGAUAGAAUUAUUGCGCAAUAUUUAAGCAAUCAAAUUGUUUUCUACCAUAAAUUGUGCCGGUCAAAUUGUCGGAACACACUCAAGUAGUCACAGAUCACCGCACAAAGCGAAAAAAAAGAAUGGCACAAAUCACGAGAAGUCCACAAAGAAGCGUUUGAGCAAGUAUGUCGCUUUGUUACAGAAAAUAUCGUUAAAAAACAACAAUGUUAUUUUUUAUCGUUUUUAAGAUCAGUUUUCACCGAUUUUGCCAAAGAUAUUGAAUUAUCUACAGACGCCGAACCAUAUAAUUUGAAAAAAAGAUUGUUGGAAACUUUUCCCAAAAAAAUUUUCAUUGUGUGUAUGAACACAAAAAAAGUUGUAAAAUCCUAUGCCAGCGUUACUAUAGAAAAAGAAGGCAGUUUGAAAACAGCUAUACAUUUUUUGCGAUCGGCAAUCCGUGGCAUAAAACGUCGUCCACUACCAGACGCAUUAACAGCAAAAAACUUAAUAACAGGAGAAUUCGACAGUCCAAAAAUAUUAAAUGAUUUUUAUUCGAAGUUGAUAUGUUCUACUUUUCGGCGGAAGCAUAAUUCAAAGGUAGCCAGAUUGGCUCAAUAAUUCUCCGAAGAUUUGAUUUAUGCUGUCUCUAAUGUGCAAGUUAAACCUUCGAAACAUUAAUUUUGGUCUGGCAUUGAAAAGUUUAACGAACAGUCAAAAAAUUAUCAACAUCAUUAAUAAGUACGGGCAUUGCUGUGGCUAUACUGUUUUAGAAGAAUUAGAAACUGAAGUAACUUUUUCUUCUACACUUCGAUCAGAAAUUUGACCUGAUGAUAUCAUUCGCGUAAAAAGUUUAUGCACAGGAUUAGCUUAUAAUAAUUUCGAUCGAUUUGUAGAUACGCUAACAGGCAAAGACAUGUUACAUGGUACUGUUGGCAUUAUAUUUCAGGACAUUGUUGAUUCUGCUCAGUAUGAUUCCACAAACGAUCCCCCUCAAGAUUUUGAAAAUAUCGCUGAAAACACCGCGGAUUUAGAAAGUGAUGCACAAAAUUCUGGGAGUUCUAGGAGUUUGAAAAAGAGACGGCGCACUUUUGAUGCUAUAACGUUUGAAUUCGAACCGUACAACGAGAAGCCACAAUUUUGUGAAACUUUAGAGCCGGUCGAAAGUCUUUUGCGAUUACAUAUUCCUGAAAAUCUUCGAUCAUUCAAACAUCUUGAUCUCGCUUGGGUACGCUCUCAUUAUCUAAAAUUGCCAAAUACUCCAUCAUGGGUAGGAUACAAUAGCAUGAUUCAUCAGGAUACAAGUUGCAAACAAAAAGUUUCAUAUUUAACGACAAUAAAUUCUUCUCCAACGAAUAUAACAGUUCUUAUGGAAACAAUGAAACGGAGCUAACAAGUCGCUUUGGAAUGCGAUGAAAAAUAUAUAGAAGUCACGUACGAUUUAGCUAUCGCCAAAAUCGCAUUGUAGAACCAAAGUACGGAAAAACCGCAAUUUGAUAACGUGUUCAUUCAUUUUAGAUCGUUCCACAUUAUAAUGGCAUAUUUUAAAGCUAUAGAAAAAUUCAUCAACGGUUGCGGAAUUACGAAUGUAAUGCUAAACAGCGAAAUACUUGCGAGCGGCUCCAUAAAUAGUUUUACAACUGGCAAACACUUCAAUAGGUGCAAACGGUUACAUACCGGAAAUAACUGAUGAAAUGAAGAAAUAUUUAUCAAAUUUCGUGAUGGACAAAUCAGUCAAUCCAACAGUUAUGAGAGAAGAAUUUAUUAAUUUGUUUGUAAAGUAUGAAGAGUAUAAACAACAAACACUCAAUGGCGAGUAUGGCAAAACUCCGCAAUUUUACAUGAUUUAUGUGAAUUUGAUUGAAUAUUAUUUCAUGCUAUCCAGAAGUAUUUGAACAGCGAACCUCGAACUUUUUCGAUUUGUUUUACUGAAAAUUGCAAAUCUCUUUUUCACUUUCAACCAACAAAACUAUUUACGUUAUACCGUGAUAUAUCACGAGAAAUUGAUGAAAGCACAUGAAUCUCAUCCGGGGUUACAGUUGCAGAUCGGAAGGGGAUCGUUUGGAGUUAAAAGAACUGACAAACCAUUUUCGAGACAGCCUAUUGAUCUUAUGCUAGAGCAAACCAUAAAUGCAUAUGUUGCAAAUAAAUUGACAAGAAUAAUGCAUACUACAAAUUCAAUUUCGGCUCUUCAACGUUGGUGUAAAAGCCAUAGCAUUCGCUCAAUCAUUAUUAGUCACAUAAUGGAGCAAACAGGAUUGAAAAAGUCUCAGGACAUUACUGCUAACCUUGAAAAAAGCAGAAUAAAAAGAAAUUCGUUGCAGCUCGGAAAUGUCAUCACAAAUAUCAAACAGAAUAUCAAUCCUUUUUCAAAUGAUUUAAAAGAAAGUUUGUUAUACAAAAUUUCAACGGGUUAAGCUGUACAAGCGAACAUUGAACAAUUUUUACGUAAUGUAGAGAAUCGUGGAAAUGAGCUACGUGAACAAUUUAUCAAAGAAUGUUUCGAAGAUGUAGAAAGAUUCGAAAAACCGAUAAAAAGAAUAAAAUUUUGACUUUCGUGGAUGCAGUACCAAAAAAAAGGUUGCUAUUUCGGGAAAACUUGUAGAAGUUCGAAUGCAAAGCGACUUAUUUGCACAGCUGCUAUUAAUUUCUCUGGAGCAAACAUUAAAUAUUGACAAAGUUUUGUCGUAUCCAUUAACGCCAGUUCCCUUAGCUAUGUGUCACGCAGAUGGGGUAAUUUGUAAAACCGAUAAAUCAGUUUUAUUGAAAAUACUAGAAAAAGAAACUGAUAGUAAUACACCACAAAGAUGUGAUGUACUAAUUGAUGAUGGCCUUUUUAUGCUCCAUGCAUUAAAAGACGUUCCGUCUACAUUUGGAAAUAUUUCGAAAAAAAUGAUUCAAAUGUUCACUAAAAAUAAUGCGCGCAUUAUUGUAAUCACAUUCGAUCCUAACUUUUCGCCAUCGAUUGAAGAUAACGAGCAUUUGUUAAGAGGUGGGGUAAAAGGUCAACAGUACCGUAUAAAAGGCCCUGAUCAAGUUUGUCCAGCUAAUUUUGCUAACGAAUUGAAGAACAUUCAUUUCAAAGCUGCCUUAGUGGAAUUUCUUUGUGACGAUUGGAAAAAUAAUUAUAUGGCUAGCUAUAUACGCAAUAAAACGAUCUAUGUUAACUACGAGUUUUGUUAUAAAUACAAAUCACAAAGUGAUGAAGUUGUAAGAACCGUCGAUCACAAUUUAUCUUAUCCAGCUCACGAAGAAGCUGACACAAAAAUUGUAUUUCACGUUUGUAAGAUUGAUUUCGAUGCUCACGUUACGAUAACAUGCUCAGAUACAGAUAUCUGUAUAAUAAUGCUCGGCAAUAUGAAUGCCAUUCAAAACGAUGUAGAGUCGCGGUAGUGACUCAAAGACAAGUACAUUUAUGACGUCGCUGCCAGAGACUCUUUACAGGAGCCAUCGCUUUUCUACUUGUUUCGAAAAUUUCUUUCUUCAAUAAAAAAAUAAUCACAGAA
Venturia canescens is the source of this 4951-nucleotide long non-coding RNA. RefSeq lists it as uncharacterized. The record is from RefSeq and is a predicted model, not a curated record. The transcript is spliced from 2 exons. Lineage: Eukaryota; Metazoa; Arthropoda; Insecta; Hymenoptera; Ichneumonidae.